GACGGUACCCACAAAAAAAUCCCCACGCUAACUCCGUGCCACCACCCGCGGUAAUACAGAGGGGGCUAGCGUUGUUCGGAAUUACUGGGCGUAAAGCGCACGUAGGCGGAUUGUAAAGUCACAGGUGAAAUCCCAGGGCUCUACCCUGGAUCUGCCUUUGAAACUCCCGGUCUUGAGGUCGAGAGAGGUGAGUGGAAUUCUCAGUGUGGAGGUGAGUUCGUAGAUAUUCGGAGGAACACCCCUGGCGAAGGCGGCUCACUGGCUCGAUACUGACACUGAGGUGCGAAAGCGUGGGGAGCAAACAGGAUUAUAUACCCUGGUGGUCCCCGCCCUAAACAAUAAAUGCCAGACGUCGGGG
RNAcentral lists this ribosomal RNA (358 nucleotides) under uncultured bacterium. Its description in RNAcentral is "bacterial SSU rRNA". It matches the Rfam family "Bacterial small subunit ribosomal RNA", at positions 471 to 828 of the family's 1533-position model. The record is from RNAcentral.